Long non-coding RNA from Ruditapes philippinarum (Manila clam), 860 nucleotides. RefSeq lists it as uncharacterized. The record is from RefSeq and is a predicted model, not a curated record. Lineage: Eukaryota; Metazoa; Mollusca; Bivalvia; Venerida; Veneridae. The transcript has 3 exons.
UACAGAUGUAGCAUUAGUCAAGGUGAAGAUUGACCAGACAUUGUCAGACCUACAGCAGUUGAUAAGCACUCCAGGAUGCCAUGAGCAGAAGUUAGCUGAGGUCAUUACAGACACUUGCUUCAAGGAGCACACUAUCUCCCAGUGUCCAAAAAGUGACAUAGCUAGUGCCAAGGAGAAAUUUAUCACUGCACUUGUUAAUAAUAUUGAGAAAAGGUUUCCAGAUACUGAUCUUCUAUCCUCAUUUGGGGUACUCUCAAUGAGGCCCCAUCACACUGCUGUCAGAUGUUGAACUGAAAACCUGGGGUGAUGAAAAAAAUAGACAUUCUGGUCAAUCAUUUUGGAGAGGAGAAAAGUCACAAAUGGAAGGUUGAUGGGGUUCAGCACACUAAGACCAGCUCUCCAAUCAUAGAUCCAGAUGCAACAAAAAAUGAAUGGAAACAGAUUAAGAUACUUGUUAAAGCAGAAAUGUAUCCCCGUGAUGAUCUCUUUAAACUGUGGCAUCUUAUAAAUAAGUUUCAUGGUGAACAGUUCCCUAACCUUUUGAUAUUGGCCAGUCUUGCCAUCAUAUGUCCUGUAAACACUGCAGGCUGUGAGAGGGGGUUUUCUGUUCAAAAUCAAACUCUUACAGCUUUGAGAAACAGGCUCAAUCCUGACACUCAGGACCAAAUCAUGAGGAUAAGGAUAAAUGGCAAGCCUAGGGAAGAUUUCCCAUUUGAAGAUGCUUUAAAGGCAUGGAAAGCAGCUGUACCUAGAAAAUUGUUUAACUGACUGAAAUAGAAAUGAAUGAAAUAUUUUCCAAACAAAAGGGAUAUUAAUAAAGUAAACUUGAAAGUGUCAAUAAUGUUUUAUUAUUCAUUUGA